RNAcentral lists this ribosomal RNA (496 nucleotides) under uncultured bacterium. RNAcentral describes it as "partial 16S ribosomal RNA". It matches the Rfam family "Bacterial small subunit ribosomal RNA", at positions 28 to 507 of the family's 1533-position model. The record is from RNAcentral.
GAUGAACGAUGGCGGCGUGCCUAAUACAUGCAAGUCGAGCGAACGGACGAGAAGCUUGCUUCUCUGAUGUUAGCGGCGGACGGGUGAGUAACACGUGGAUAACCUACCUAUAAGACUGGGAUAACUUCGGGAAACCGGAGCUAUACCGGAUAAUAUUUUGAACCGCAUGGUUCAAAAGUGAAAGACGGUCUUGCUGUCACUUAUAGAUGGAUCCGCGCUGCAUUAGCUAGUUGGUAAGGUAACGGCUUACCAAGGCAACGAUGCAUAGCCGACCUGAGAGGGUGAUCGGCCACACUGGAACUGAGACACGGUCCAGACUCCUACGGGAGGCAGCAGUAGGGAAUCUUCCGCAAUGGGCGAAAGCCUGACGGAGCAACGCCGCGUGAGUGAUGAAGGUCUUCGGAUCGUAAAACUCUGUUAUUAGGGAAGAACAUAUGUGUAAGUAACUGUGCACAUCUUGACGGUACCUAAUCAGAAAGCCACGGCUAACUACGUG